UACCGAUUAGCUCAGUUGGUAAAGAAUUUGCCUGCAAUACAGGAGGUCCAGGUUCAAUCCCUGGGUCGGGAA
This 72-nucleotide transfer RNA is filed under the name Bos taurus (domestic cattle). It matches the Rfam family "tRNA". From Rfam's summary of the family: Transfer RNA (tRNA) molecules are approximately 80 nucleotides in length. Their secondary structure includes four short double-helical elements and three loops (D, anti-codon, and T loops). The record is from Rfam by way of RNAcentral. Lineage: Eukaryota; Metazoa; Chordata; Mammalia; Artiodactyla; Bovidae.